CCUACGGGAGGCAGCAGUAGGGAACCUUCCGCAAUGGACGAAAGUCUGACGGAGCAACGCCGCGUGAGUGAUGAAGGUUUUCGGAUCGUAAAACUCUGUUGUUAGGGAAGAACAAGUACCGGAGUCACUGCCGGUACCUUGACGGUACCUGACGAGAAAGCCACGGCUAACUACGUGCCAGCAGCCGCGGUAAU
Molecule: ribosomal RNA, 194 nt
Filed under: uncultured bacterium
Lineage: Bacteria
Description: partial 16S ribosomal RNA
Rfam family: Bacterial small subunit ribosomal RNA
Source: RNAcentral